GAUGAACGCUGGCGGCGUGCUUAACACAUGCAAGUCGAACGGGAUCCAUCAGGCUUUGCUUGGUGGUGAGAGUGGCGAACGGGUGAGUAAUGCGUGACCGACCUGCCCCAUACACCGGAAUAGCUCCUGGAAACGGGUGGUAAUGCCGGAUGCUCCGACUCCUCGCAUGGGGUGUCGGGAAAGAUUUCAUCGGUAUGGGAUGGGGUCGCGUCCUAUCAGGUAGUCGGCGGGGUAACGGCCCACCGAGCCUACGACGGGUAGCCGGCCUGAGAGGGCGACCGGCCACAUUGGGACUGAGAUACGGCCCAGACUCCUACGGGAGGCAGCAGUGGGGAAUAUUGCACAAUGGGCGCAAGCCUGAUGCAGCGACGCCGCGUGCGGGAUGACGGCCUUCGGGUUGUAAACCGCUUUUGAUCGGGAGCAAGCCUUCGGGUGAGUGUACCUUUCGAAUAAGCACCGGCUAACUACGUGCCAGCAGCCGCGGUAAUACGUAGGGUGCAAGCGUUAUCCGGAAUUAUUGGGCGUAAAGGGCUCGUAGGCGGUUCGUCGCGUCCGGUGUGAAAGUCCAUCGCUUAACGGUGGAUCUGCGCCGGGUACGGGCGGGCUGGAGUGCGGUAGGGGAGACUGGAAUUCCCGGUGUAACGGUGGAAUGUGUAGAUAUCGGGAAGAACACCAAUGGCGAAGGCAGGUCUCUGGGCCGUUACUGACGCUGAGGAGCGAAAGCGUGGGGAGCGAACAGGAUUAGAUACCCUGGUAGUCCACGCCGUAAACGGUGGAUGCUGGAUGUGGGGCCCGUUCCACGGGUUCCGUGUCGGAGCUAACGCGUUAAGCAUCCCGCCUGGGGAGUACGGCCGCAAGGCUAAAACUCAAAGAAAUUGACGGGGGCCCGCACAAGCGGCGGAGCAUGCGGAUUAAUUCGAUGCAACGCGAAGAACCUUACCUGGGCUUGACAUGUUCCCGACAGCCGUAGAGAUAUGGCCUCCCUUCGGGGCGGGUUCACAGGUGGUGCAUGGUCGUCGUCAGCUCGUGUCGUGAGAUGUUGGGUUAAGUCCCGCAACGAGCGCAACCCUCGCCCUGUGUUGCCAGCACGUCAUGGUGGGAACUCACGGGGGACCGCCGGGGUCAACUCGGAGGAAGGUGGGGAUGACGUCAGAUCAUCAUGCCCCUUACGUCCAGGGCUUCACGCAUGCUACAAUGGCCGGUACAACGGGAUGCGACACGGCGACGUGGAGCGGAUCCCUGAAAACCGGUCUCAGUUCGGAUUGGAGUCUGCAACCCGACUCCAUGAAGGCGGAGUCGCUAGUAAUCGCGGAUCAGCAACGCCGCGGUGAAUGCGUUCCCGGGCCUUGUACACACCGCCCGUCAAGUCAUGAAAGUGGGUAGCACCCGAAGCCGGUGGCCUAACCCUUUGUGGAUGGA
RNAcentral lists this ribosomal RNA (1419 nucleotides) under Bifidobacterium pseudocatenulatum. RNAcentral describes it as "bacterial SSU rRNA". It matches the Rfam family "Bacterial small subunit ribosomal RNA". The record is from RNAcentral. Lineage: Bacteria; Bacillati; Actinomycetota; Actinomycetes; Bifidobacteriales; Bifidobacteriaceae.